RNAcentral lists this ribosomal RNA (250 nucleotides) under uncultured bacterium. RNAcentral's name for it is "partial 16S ribosomal RNA". It matches the Rfam family "Bacterial small subunit ribosomal RNA", at positions 524 to 775 of the family's 1533-position model. The record is from RNAcentral.
UACGAAGGGUGCAAACGUUGCUCGGAAUUAUUGGGCGUAAAGCGCACGUAGGCGGCUUUUCAAGUCGGAUGUGAAAUCCCUCGGCUUAACCAAGGAAGUGCAUCCGAAACUGGAAGGCUUGAGUACUUAAGAGGAUCGCGGAAUUCCCGGUGUAGAGGUGAAAUUCGUAGAUAUCGGGAGGAACACCAGUGGCGAAGGCGGCGAUCUGGGAAGAUACUGACGCUGAGGUGCGAAAGCGUGGGAGCAACAG